GGGCCAGUGGCGCAAUGGUUAGCGCAGAAAGCUUAUACCUUUAAGGUUCCUGGUUCGAGUCCAGGCUGGCCCA
RNAcentral lists this transfer RNA (73 nucleotides) under Candidatus Woesebacteria bacterium. RNAcentral's name for it is "tRNA-Ile". It matches the Rfam family "tRNA". From Rfam's summary of the family: Transfer RNA (tRNA) molecules are approximately 80 nucleotides in length. The record is from RNAcentral. Lineage: Bacteria; Candidatus Woeseibacteriota.